GUCAUCUUCAGUGUGAAUAGUUAUGUUAUUUACAGGCAUAACCAACUGAAUAUCUUUAGGAAGUUUGCGCAGUUGGUAUGUCCUUUGAUAAGCUUCCUGCUUUCAUGGCAACUUUACAGCUACUCUUAAAUAAAAUACUUGAAAGUUAUUUUGUUGUGCGGCAAAUGAUCACCAAAUAUUAUGGAGAAACAAAGAUUAAAUGUUGUUAGUUUAUGAAUGUGGACUCGUACGUAUAACUAAAGAAAGUAUUUAUUGUUGACGAUGGACAUUGAUGUGGCAUUUAGAAGCUGAGCUACACGUACCUUAAUAACAAACAUUUUGUACAAUGCAGUGAUUAAACUCUGUAAAUUUGCUUAAAAUUCUACUUGCCUUCAACUGCUUUAACUUUUGCAUACCGUCGUCCCACACGAAGCAAAAUGAAAUGAAACUCCAUGGACGAGAAUAUUCAGCAUUCAAAGAGUAAAAACUAAACAUGAUGUUCAAUAAGUCCUUUGAACAAAGAUCAAGUGUAAACAAAAGAUGGUAGUCUUAAGAAAUGCUUUCAUCAGCUCAACAUGAGUGU
Long non-coding RNA from Xenia sp. Carnegie-2017, 562 nucleotides. RefSeq lists it as uncharacterized. The transcript is spliced from 3 exons. Lineage: Eukaryota; Metazoa; Cnidaria; Anthozoa; Malacalcyonacea; Xeniidae. The record is from RefSeq and is a predicted model, not a curated record.